UUUUAGGGGAAUGUUGUUUGGUUUGAGGAUCUGAUCCGUAACCAUUUAUCUGAACCAAAGAUGGUUAGAGAGUUAACCUCAUAGCUAUAUUUGUGAGAAUAUCAUCGGACCAGGCUUCAUUCCCCUCAAU
Non-coding RNA from Lupinus albus (white lupine), 130 nucleotides. NCBI's taxonomy places the organism in Eukaryota, Viridiplantae, Streptophyta, Magnoliopsida, Fabales, Fabaceae. The record is from the annotation of a GenBank genome assembly.